This 1171-nucleotide ribosomal RNA is filed under the name Rhytismatales sp. RNAcentral describes it as "partial large subunit ribosomal RNA". It matches the Rfam family "Eukaryotic large subunit ribosomal RNA", at positions 69 to 1139 of the family's 3401-position model. The record is from RNAcentral. Lineage: Eukaryota; Fungi; Ascomycota; Leotiomycetes; Rhytismatales.
CAGGGAUUGCCUCAGUAACGGCGAGUGAAGCGGCAAAAGCUCAAAUUUGAAAUCUGGCUCUUUUAGGGUCCGAGUUGUAAUUUGUAGAAGAUGUUUCGGGUGUGGCUCCGGUUUAAGUUCUUUGGAAUAUUACAUCAUAGAGGGUGAGAAUCCCGUAUGUGACCGGCAGCCUUCGCCUAUGUGAAACUCUUUCGACGAGUCGAGUUGUUUGGGAAUGCAGCUCAAAAUGGGAGGUAUAUUUCUUCUAAAGCUAAAUAUUGGCCAGAGACCGAUAGCGCACAAGUAGAGUGAUCGAAAGAUGAAAAGCACUUUGGAAAGAGAGUUAAACAGUACGUGAAAUUGUUGAAAGGGAAGCGCUUGCAACCAGACUUGCACGCAGUUGAUCAUCCGGUGUUCUCACCGGGGCACUCUGCUGCGUUCAGGCCAGCAUCGGUUUUGGUGGUUGGAUAAAGGCCUUGGGAAUGUGGCUUCCUUCGGGGAGUGUUAUAGCCCUCGGUGCAAUGCAGCCUACCGGGACCGAGGACCGCGCUUCGGCUAGGAUGCUGGCGUAAUGGUUGUAAGCGACCCGUCUUGAAACACGGACCAAGGAGUCUAACAUCUAUGCGAGUGUUUGGGUGUUAAACCCAUACGCGUAAUGAAAGUGAACGGAGGUGAGAACCCUUAAGGGUGCAUCAUCGACCGGUCCUGAUGUCUUCGGAUGGAUCUGAGUAAGAGCAUAGCUGUUGGGACCCGAAAGAUGGUGAACUAUGCGUGAAUAGGGUGAAGCCAGAGGAAACUCUGGUGGAGGCUCGCAGCGGUUCUGACGUGCAAAUCGAUCGUCAAAUUUGCGCAUAGGGGCGAAAGACUUAUCGAACCAUUGAACACCUACUAGGUGGUUAAGAGGCCUUAGUACGGCCUAGUCCUCACCGAGGGCGACAUUGUCAAAUUGUUCGGGGACCUCCUGAUAACUCUCAGACUACCGCAGCCCGCCCGAAAGGGGGGUGCGCACCGGGCUAACGACCCUGGGGAUGGUAACAACGUCUGGGUAGGGAAGAUCCGCAGCCAAGUCCUACCGCCCUCCGGGGCCACGGAUGCAGUUCACAGACUUGAAGGCAGUGGGCUCCCCCGGGAGCUUAAGAUAAAGUCGAACCCCCCGGAGACGGGGUGGAGGGAGGAGAGUGCGUCGCACUCA